Molecule: long non-coding RNA, 486 nt
Organism: Hermetia illucens (black soldier fly)
Lineage: Eukaryota; Metazoa; Arthropoda; Insecta; Diptera; Stratiomyidae
Exons: 3
Source: RefSeq, a predicted model, not a curated record
CUUCGCUGGGAGUGAACUAGCCUGAGUUGUUUUGGACUUUACGAACUAAGCUUCUCUAGUUUAUUGAACUUUUCGUUUAGUUCCUUAUUUUCCAUUUCCUGAGGUGUUUUCGUUGGGUUACGUUUUUGAUCGAUGGUGGUGGUCUUGUAACCCUCGAACUCCUACUAAACGGGUCGAUCAAAUGCAAUGAAAGAUGCUCCCCAGAAUCCAUAGGACCAACCUCCUGAGAGGGUGGAUUUUCCAGUACAACUCGUCUACCACCUGUGGUUCAGCGAUUUCUGUAUUAAAAUGUGCAUUGGGACGCCGCUCAUGUUUGUCCACCACGCGACGGUUGUCUAAUGGUUAUCCAGGGCUACCACUGGGAGGUGCGAGUCAACUUGAUGCAGACAUGGGCAAGGAUCAUCACUGGCCUUUACCGAGUUAAAGGCGAUCAGGAUCUCUACCUUGUGCAACUUAAGCCAUUCGACCUCGAAGCGUGUAUAUAUG